UUACAGCUGGAGUCUUGGCUUGGACUAAACGUCUUCCUUUUCCUGUUUUGUUCAGGGCUCCCAAAUCUGUAUUUUCUCAGCAUCUGGCGCUCCCAGUGCUACGCAUUCUUCCUAGCCGGAGAUCGGGAGCAGCGGCGAGGGAGGGCAGGAACAGAGAACCGAGCACUCUUUUGUGCGCUCAUGUCUAGCGGUAACACUUUUUGGCCACCCCAAACCUGCGCCUUUCCAACCGGCGCUGCUGUCUCUCCCGGAGAGGGAAGCCGCCGCGCCUUCCCCCCUGCCGGGCAGCACGCACCCGCGGCCGCCGCCCAUCGCGGCCAGGGGCCGGUAGGACACGAGCGCGGCUCAGCCGUGAGGGCGGGGCGGGGCCGGGGCGGGGCCCUCCCGUGUGCCGCGGUGCUUCCGUCCGAGCCGUGUCAGCUUCCGCCCCGCGCUGCCGCUCUUCUCCCAGCUGUCGACAGCUCGCUUGGGCCCCGACCAACAUCUCUCAGCUGCCAAGUAAAGAAGGUAAAACCUGUCCACACGAAAGACUUAUUAGCCAAUAAAGGUAAGAAUACAUUAGAUGCCUGGUACAUCAUGGGUAUUUGUUUGAAGUUUUUGAAGAUUUAAAUGCAAAUCUCUACUUCUACAGUCCAAAUCUGAUACUUCCUACUUACCUAAUUUCUUUGUGUACUGUAGAAGACCCUGUGCAGUUGCAGGUCUGUCUAAUCCCUUAUUAGCAAGAAUACUAUACUUGAGUUCACAAGUGGAAGAUGUCUCUUUAAUAUCGAAUUUCAGAUGUAACGGCCUACGUUGUCAUCUGGCUUUGCCAUUAAUUCUUACUAUGAAUGUUAGCACUGUGACCGUGCAGUUGCUGGAUGCCAGUUUUUAUAGGUCAGGGCAGCUCUAUUGGACCUUUCUUGAAUAUGCAUGCCAUUCUUGCAACAUGCCUCUGUGAAUGUGAAAUAUGCAAAAUUCUGGAAUAUGUGCACUUAAAUGGGCAGUAAAUCUAGAACUCAUGGAUGGCUGAAUUCCAAAUUACUUGUAACCUCACACCUGUCUUCAGUGUAUGCUUUCCUUUCAUUGCAGGGAUGCUGCCCAGAGCAGAGAUGAGGUCAGGAAGGCCAAGACAAAGUAUGUUGAACAGAAAAGGAAAGAAAAUGCAUACAUCACACUCCCCAUGCACUCCUGAUAAGCAAGACAAGAAAACUAGAGGCAAUUGUCAUGGAGAAGGCUGAGAUACUCAGCAACUUUUUCAUCUCAGUUUUCCAUGGUACUCUCUCUUCCUACUUCUCUCGAGCCCCUGCCCCUCAAGACAGGGACUGGGGGAAUACGUAACAGCCAUUAAAAAUGAAGAUCAAGUGUGGGACCAUGCGAGGAACCUGAACAUACGGCAUCCCGGGGGGCAGCAGCGGCAGUGUCAUAGGGAAGGGAUGAACCAACUGCUGCCGCCGGCCCCAGUACAGGAACAGAGCAGAGCAUGAGCAGGAGCCAAGGCAGUGUCCCCAGCCACACUGCCCCCGUGCCGUGGGGUGGCUGUCAGUCCACGACAGCAGAGCUGGGGAGGAACUUCAGGCCUUCUGGGGGCUGCCACCCUUUCUUGUUGCAGCAGAGCCCCUUUUUGGGGGCGUGUGCAUAUGGAAAUGCUUUAAUAAAGCAACACGCUGCUGUCCA
Molecule: long non-coding RNA, 1653 nt
Filed under: Serinus canaria (Common canary)
Lineage: Eukaryota; Metazoa; Chordata; Aves; Passeriformes; Fringillidae
Description: lncRNA (ENSSCAG00000016288.1)
Source: RNAcentral